This 253-nucleotide ribosomal RNA is filed under the name uncultured bacterium. RNAcentral describes it as "partial 16S ribosomal RNA". It matches the Rfam family "Bacterial small subunit ribosomal RNA", at positions 524 to 776 of the family's 1533-position model. The record is from RNAcentral.
AACGUAGGAGCCAAGCGUUAUCCGAAUUCACUGGGCGUAAAGCGCGUGCAGGCGGUCUGGUAAGUUGGAUGUGAAAUCUCCUGGCUCAACUGGGAGAGGCCGUUCAAUACUGUCAGACUAGAGGGCGACAGAGGGAGGUGGAAUUCCGGGUGUAGUGGUGAAAUGCGUAGAUAUCCGGAGGAACACCAGAGGCGAAGGCGACCUCCUGGGUCGCACCUGACGCUCAGACGCGAAAGCUAGGGGAGCGAACGGG